RNAcentral lists this long non-coding RNA (442 nucleotides) under Solanum lycopersicum (tomato). RNAcentral's name for it is "long non-coding RNA (SLYC_LNC000322)". Lineage: Eukaryota; Viridiplantae; Streptophyta; Magnoliopsida; Solanales; Solanaceae. The record is from RNAcentral.
UGUAGGCAAUAAUUGCCAUAAACUUAAGCGCUAGAUCACAAACCAAAGACUUCAAAACCAAUUUUAAAUAUAGGAGGGUAGAGGGCUGGAGGUACUUAAUUAUUUUUACAUACAUAUAACAUAUUAUAUAUAUAUGAAAAAUUGUAUUAUCAUCAAUUAAAUCUUGUGAUUUUACUUAUUCAUUCUUGAAGCAUCUCUUCCAUACUGGAUGGCUCUUCCACACAUCAACCAUUCCAUCAAUGGGAACUCCCUUAGUCUCUGGUACUAAGAAGACUACGAAUAGUCCCAUAACGACGAUCCAUCCAGAGAAGAAGAAGAAUAUGUUUGCUUGCAUUUUGCAAAGCAUUGUUAAGAAUGCUUGAGCAAUGAUUGAAGUGAAAAGCAUGUUUGUGCUCACUGCAAAUGCGAAACCGGCUGUUCUUGUUUCCAUUGGGAAUGUUUC